UACACAUGCAAGUCGAGCGGAAACGAGUUAUCUGAACCUUCGGGGAACGAUAACGGCGUCGAGCGGCGGACGGGUGAGUAAUGCCUAGGAAAUUGCCCUGAUGUGGGGGAUAACCAUUGGAAACGAUGGCUAAUACCGCAUAAUGCCUACGGGCCAAAGAGGGGGACCUUCGGGCCUCUCGCGUCAGGAUAUGCCUAGGGGGGAUUAGCUAGUUGGGGAGGUAAUGGCUCACCAAGGCGACGAUCCCUAGCUGGUCUGAAAGGAUGAUCAGCCCCCCUGGAACUGAAACCCGGUCCAGACUCCUACGGGAGGCAGCAGGGGGGAAUAUUGCACAAUGGGCGCAAGCCUGAUGCAGCCAUGCCGCGGGGGGGAAGAAGGCCUUCGGGUUGUAAAGCACUUUCAGUCGUGAGGAAGGGAGGGGAGUUAAUAGCUGCAUUAUUUGACGUUAGCGACAGAAGAAGCACCGGCUAACUCCGUGCCAGCAGCCGCGGUAAUACGGAGGGNGCGAGCGUUAAUCGGAAUUACUGGGCGUAAAGCGCAUGCAGGUGGUUUGUUAAGUCAGAUGUGAAAGCCCGGGGCUCAACCUCGGAAUUGCAUUUGAAACUGGCAGACUAGAGUACUGGAGAGGGGGGUAGAAUUUCAGGUGUAGCGGUGAAAUGCGUAGAGAUCUGAAGGAAUACCGGUGGCGAAGGCGGCCCCCUGGACAGAUACUGACACUCAGAUGCGAAAGCGUGGGGAGCAAACAGGAUUAGAUACCCUGGUAGUCCACGCCGUAAACGAUGUCUACUUGGAGGUUGUGGCCUUGANCCGUGGCUUUCGGAGCUAACGCGNUAAGUANACCGCCUGGGGAGUACGGUCGCAGAU
This 864-nucleotide ribosomal RNA is filed under the name Vibrio sp. Oct07-TCBS-7BB-5. Its description in RNAcentral is "bacterial SSU rRNA". It matches the Rfam family "Bacterial small subunit ribosomal RNA", at positions 50 to 894 of the family's 1533-position model. Lineage: Bacteria; Pseudomonadati; Pseudomonadota; Gammaproteobacteria; Vibrionales; Vibrionaceae. The record is from RNAcentral.